This 459-nucleotide ribosomal RNA is filed under the name uncultured bacterium. Its description in RNAcentral is "partial 16S ribosomal RNA". It matches the Rfam family "Bacterial small subunit ribosomal RNA", at positions 338 to 795 of the family's 1533-position model. The record is from RNAcentral.
CCUACGGGUGGCAGCAGUGAGGGAUAUUGGUCAAUGGACGAGAGUCUGAACCAGCCAAGUAGCGUGAAGGAUGACUGCCCUAUGGAUUGUAAACUUCUUUUAUAUGGGAGUAAAAUGUUCCACGUGUGGGAUUUUGUAUGUACCAUAUCAUUCAGGCUCGGCUAACUCCGUGCCAGCAGCCGCGGUAAUACGGAGGAUGCGAGCGUUAUCCGUGUUUAUUGGGUUUAAAGGGUGCGUAGGCGGAAUGCCAAGUCAGAGGUAAAAUCGCGGGGCUCAACCUCGCUCCGCUGUGGAAACUGGCGUUCGUGAGUGGGCGAGAGGUAUGCGGAAUGCGUGGUGUAGCGGUGAAAUGCAUAGAUAUCACGCAGAACUCCGAGUGCGAAGGCAGCAUACCGGCGCCAAACUGACGCUGAAGCACGAAAGCGUGGGUAGCGAACAGGAUUAGAUACCCCUGUAGUC